RNAcentral lists this transfer RNA (35 nucleotides) under Gaultheria sinensis. RNAcentral's name for it is "partial tRNA-Lys". The record is from RNAcentral. Lineage: Eukaryota; Viridiplantae; Streptophyta; Magnoliopsida; Ericales; Ericaceae. RNAcentral also lists the same sequence under 20 other names.
AUCUACUCCAUCCGAUUAGUUCCGGGUUCGAAUCC